This 574-nucleotide long non-coding RNA is filed under the name Fukomys damarensis (Damara mole-rat). RNAcentral describes it as "lncRNA (ENSFDAG00000025336.1)". The record is from RNAcentral. Lineage: Eukaryota; Metazoa; Chordata; Mammalia; Rodentia; Bathyergidae.
CCCGCGAUGACCGGAGGAGGAGCCAGCGGCAGAACCGGAGGCGUAGGGUGCUGCGAAUGCAGAGUCCCUAGACUGGGCAUGCGCACUCCGGACCCCUGAGCCGAUUUAAAGAGGGUGGCUGCAAGCUCCUCCUCCGACCUGAGGCGGUCAGACAAGGCUCCUAAAUGAUGGGGGGCGGAACCUGCUGAGAAGGGGUCCUACAGUUAAGGGCUGAGGGGAGGAGUCACCUUGGGAGGAGGGGUCACAAUGACUAGCGGACUCACUCUGAAAGGUCUCGGUGCGUGGGAGGAACACGUAGAGGAGGGGAUUAUGCAGCACCGAGGGUCUAGUUUUCUGCGCUGCUGGUCCGCGGAGCCCAGGAAUCGGACAGCUUCCUCAGCCGGGCCCUGGACAGACAGUGACCCGUGGUAGGAGAGGAAGGACUCCCGGGGCAGCUAAAAGACGUCCGAGCUUCGCGAGCGCACACCCAGCUCUUCGUUCCCUUCAGUUCGUCUAGUGCAGCCCAAACUUGGCCCCGGCGCGCCGGCCGCUCCCCGGGAAGCGGCGGCCGCGCCCGGAGCUAGCACACCUGAGG